RNAcentral lists this small RNA (470 nucleotides) under Arabidopsis thaliana (thale cress). RNAcentral describes it as "ATSL254640". The record is from RNAcentral. Lineage: Eukaryota; Viridiplantae; Streptophyta; Magnoliopsida; Brassicales; Brassicaceae.
AUUUUUCUAAUGAAUUUGGGUAGCCUAGAUAUUUCUAUUCAUCCAUCAUAUUUAGAACUCUGAUAUUUUCAGUGGAUUAUCUUUCUUUCUUUCUUUUUUUCCUUUUCUAAUGAAUUCGUGUAACCUAGCUAUUUCUAUCCAUCCAUCAUAUUUUUGUACAAGUUUUCUCGUAGAGUAUGAUGUAGCUAGAGUGCCUGCCAGUCUGCCACCUUCUCAUUCUUUCUUUCUUUUUUCCACCUUCUCAUUCUUCAUUUUAUUUUCUAGCAGUAAAUGUUUAGAGUUGUGUCAAAAAUAGAAAAUAAAUGGAUGUUGCAUUCAAGCUAAGUAACCAAGAAAAAGUGUCAUAUUGUGAUAAAGAUUGCGCAUGCAAAGCGAUGUGCAUAUAUGUUCAUUGCAGAUUGGGCUAUUGGCACCACCAAUAUACAUGCUUGCUUCAUGAAACUGCUAUCAUUUCUUUAUUUUUUAUGUAU